This 229-nucleotide ribosomal RNA is filed under the name uncultured bacterium. RNAcentral describes it as "partial 16S ribosomal RNA". It matches the Rfam family "Bacterial small subunit ribosomal RNA", at positions 30 to 266 of the family's 1533-position model. The record is from RNAcentral.
UUGAACGCUGGCGGCAUGCCUUACACAUGCAAGUCGAACGGUAGAGGGGCAACCCUUGAGAGUGGCGAACGGGUGAGUAAUGCAUCGGAACGUGCCCAGUCGUGGGGGAUAACGCAGCGAAAGCUGUGCUAAUACCGCAUGUGAUCUGUGGAUGAAAGCAGGGGACCGCAAGGCCUUGUGCGAUUGGAGCGGCCGAUGUCAGAUUAGCUAGUUGGUAGGGUAAAAGCCU